GAAUAUACAAAAGGUGUAAAAAAAUUUGCCACACUUUUACUUGUUCAAGCCAUUAGUUCAGUAGAAUAUCGCACAUAACACUUGGAUGAGGAGCUGAGAUCAGGUGACAGAGGAAGUGGAGUGCAAAGAUUAAGGUGGUGUCAGAGGAAAAGGGUCCACAGAUCUUCAAUAAAGGGUUCUGACUGAUUCUACCCCUACUUCUCACCCCAUCACUCUAAGAGCAAGUUUAAUAGUAUAACUAACUAUUGGCUCCAAAUCAUAUAUAGUCAAUUUAAUAGCUAAUUCAUACAAUAGUUAACUAUAAACAUGUACUAUAUAAUUAAUGUCUGGUCCCACCUAUCAUACACACAAAUCUGUAGCCCGCUGCUCUUAUCUCUCCUCUUUUAACUCCUUAAAAUAUGUUUAUAGCUGGCUUAUAGUCUGCUAUUGUACCUGCUCUAAUCCUCUGCCCUAGCCCUCGGUUGAUUUCCCUAUCCUUAUCCCCUCUAUCCUAUCCCUACAUCCAAACACCUUCCACAUAAGGUGGAGGUGGAGCACCCCCAUCUCAAACACAGACAGAAAAGGAUAGCAAAAGGAAGUAUUGCAGGUUUGCUUGAUUAAUACUUGAAAUUAAGCAUGAUGAAAUCUCUUCAAAGGUCACUAUUGGAGUUCCCAGAACUAUAUGGCCUUGGUCAUCUGACUACAAUAGCUUUGGUUGGCUGCAUAACACCAAUAGGACUGUAAUAUAAGAUUAUAAGAAAAUUAGGUAAUUGUACAGCAGGUUGCUUGGGAGUGUGGUGAGGAAAACUGAUGCAGUUUCUCUCUUGGAUGCUAGUAACUGGUAAUGUUUAGGCCAGUAAUUUGUUUCUCUUUUCAUUUUCUGCACCAAGACAGCUAUGAGUUGUAUUAAGACUCUGCUCCUCCUCCUUCCGAAUGAUAUGAAUAUGAUAAGAUACGUGGCUCUUGGGAAUGUAACAUAAGGAAACUUCAUUAAAAUCACUGCCUAUAUAAUUGCUUAAAUUACCGGAUAACUGAGCAAUAGAUAAUCCUUGUUUCAAGAUGAUCUAUAAGAUUGAGCAUCUCAAACC
RNAcentral lists this small RNA (1067 nucleotides) under Oryza sativa Japonica Group (Japanese rice). RNAcentral's name for it is "sRNA Os03g0335401". The record is from RNAcentral. Lineage: Eukaryota; Viridiplantae; Streptophyta; Magnoliopsida; Poales; Poaceae.